CGGAGGGUGCAAGCGUUAUCCGGAUUCACUGGGUUUAAAGGGUGGCGUAGGUGGGCAAGUAAGUCAGUGGUGAAAUCUCCGGGCUUAACCCGGAAACUGCCAUUGAUACUAUUUGUCUUGAAUACUGUGGAGGUCAGCGGAAUAUGUCAUGUAGCGGUGAAAUGCUUAGAUAUGACAUAGAACACCAAUUGCGAAGGCAGCUGGCUACACAAAUAUUGACACUGAGGCACGAAAGCGUGGGGAUCAAACAGGAUUAGAUACCCUGGUAGUCCACGCCCUAAACUAUGGAUACUCGACAUUUGCGAUAAACUGCAAGUGUCUGAGCGAAAGCAUUAAGUAUCCCACCUGGGAAGUACGAUCGCAAGAUUG
RNAcentral lists this ribosomal RNA (369 nucleotides) under uncultured organism. RNAcentral describes it as "bacterial SSU rRNA". It matches the Rfam family "Bacterial small subunit ribosomal RNA", at positions 526 to 896 of the family's 1533-position model. The record is from RNAcentral.